UACGAAGGGGGCUAGCGUUGUUCGGAAUUACUGGGCGUAAAGGGCGCGUAGGCGGUGCCUCAAGUCAGGCGUGAAAGCCCCGGGCUUAACCUGGGAAUGGCAUUUGGGACUGCAAGGCUUGAGUGCGGCAGAGGAGACUGGAAUUCCUGGUGUAGCAGUGAAAUGCGUAGAUAUCAGGAGGAAUACCGAUGGCGAAGGCAGGUCUCUGGGCUGACACUGACGCUCAUGCACGAAAGCGUGGGGAGCAAACAGG
This 253-nucleotide ribosomal RNA is filed under the name uncultured bacterium. Its description in RNAcentral is "partial 16S ribosomal RNA". It matches the Rfam family "Bacterial small subunit ribosomal RNA", at positions 524 to 776 of the family's 1533-position model. The record is from RNAcentral.